AUUGAACGCUGGCGGCAUGCCUUACACAUGCAAGUCGAGCGGUAACAGGUCUUCGGAUGCUGACGAGUGGCGAACGGGUGAGUAAUACAUCGGAACGUGCCUAGAAGUGGGGGAUAACUACUCGAAAGAGUGGCUAAUACCGCAUGAGAUCUACGGAUGAAAGCAGGGGAUCGCAAGACCUUGUGCUACUAGAGCGGCCGAUGGCAGAUUAGGUAGUUGGUGGGAUAAAAGCUUACCAAGCCGACGACCUGUAGCUGGUCUGAGAGGACGAUCAGCCACACUGGGACUGAGACACGGCCCAGACUCCUACGGGAGGCAGCAGUGGGGAAUUUUGGACAAUGGGCGAAAGCCUGAUCCAGCAAUGCCGCGUGCAGGAUGAAGGCCUUCGGGUUGUAAACUGCUUUUGUACGGAACGAAAAGCCCCGGGUUAAUACCCUGGGGUCAUGACGGUACCGUAAGAAUAAGCACCGGCUAACUACGUGCCAGCAGCCGCAGUAA
Molecule: ribosomal RNA, 498 nt
Filed under: uncultured bacterium
Lineage: Bacteria
Description: partial 16S ribosomal RNA
Rfam family: Bacterial small subunit ribosomal RNA
Source: RNAcentral